RNAcentral lists this ribosomal RNA (314 nucleotides) under uncultured Coxiella sp. Its description in RNAcentral is "bacterial SSU rRNA". It matches the Rfam family "Bacterial small subunit ribosomal RNA", at positions 56 to 355 of the family's 1533-position model. Lineage: Bacteria; Pseudomonadati; Pseudomonadota; Gammaproteobacteria; Legionellales; Coxiellaceae. The record is from RNAcentral.
UGCAAGUCGAACGGUAGCGUCGGAAGCGUAAGCUCCUGGCGCGAGAGUGGCGGACGGGUGAGUAAUGCGUAGGAAUCUGCCUUAUAGUGGGGGAUAACCCGGGGAAACUCGGGCUAAUACCGCAUAAUCUCUGUCUUUGUUUGGUAGAGUAAAGUGGGGGAUCUUCGGACCUCGCGCUAUAAGAUGAGCCUAUGUCGGAUUAGCUUGUUGGUGGGGUAAUAGCCUACCAAGGCGACGAUCCGUAGCUGGUCUGAGAGGACGAUCAGCCACACUGGGACUGAGACACGGCCCAGACUCCUACGGGAGGCAGCAGU